GAUGAAGAACGUAGCGAAAUGCGAUACGUAAUGUGAAUUGCAGAAUUCAGUGAAUCAUCGAAUCUUUGAACGCACAUUGCGCCCGCCAGCACUCUGGCGGGCAUGCCUGUUCGAGCGUCAUUUCAACCAUCAAGCCCCAGGCUUGCGUUGGAGCCCUGCGGCUGCCGCAGCAUCCUAAAAGCAGUGGCGGGCUCGCUAUCACACCGAGUGCAGUAGAUUACUCUUCGCUCAGGGCGUGCAGCGGGUUCCGGCCGUGAAACCCCCUACUUUUAAAGGUUGACCUCGGAUCAGGUAGGAAUACCCGCUGAACUUAAGCAUAUCAAUAAGCGGAGGA
RNAcentral lists this unclassified non-coding RNA (334 nucleotides) under soil metagenome. Its description in RNAcentral is "partial contains 5.8S ribosomal RNA, internal transcribed spacer 2, and large subunit ribosomal RNA". The stretch from base 1 to 120 matches the Rfam family "5.8S ribosomal RNA", at positions 35 to 154 of the family's 154-position model. The record is from RNAcentral.